GGCCCCUUGGUCAAGCGGUUAAGACACCGCCCUUUCACGGCGGUAACACGGGUUCGAAUCCCGUAGGGCUCACCA
Molecule: transfer RNA, 75 nt
Filed under: Mammaliicoccus sciuri
Lineage: Bacteria; Bacillati; Bacillota; Bacilli; Caryophanales; Staphylococcaceae
Description: Staphylococcus sciuri tRNA-Glu
Rfam family: tRNA
About the family: Transfer RNA (tRNA) molecules are approximately 80 nucleotides in length.
Source: RNAcentral